GUGGAUUAGAUACCCUAGUAGUCCACGCUGUAAACGAUGAGUACUAGGUGUAGGGUCUUCCAGGCUCUGUGCCGCAGUUAACACAUUAAGUACUCCGCCUGGGAAGUACGGUCGCAAGACUAAAACUCAAAGGAAUUGACGGGGGCCCGCACAAGCAGCGGAGCAUGUGGUUUAAUUCGAAGCAACGCGAAGAACCUUACCAGGACUUGACAUCCUAAGAAUUCUUGAGAGAUCAGGAAGUGCCCUUCGGGGAACUUAGAGACAGGUGGUGCACGGUCGUCGUCAACU
RNAcentral lists this ribosomal RNA (288 nucleotides) under uncultured bacterium. RNAcentral's name for it is "partial 16S ribosomal RNA". It matches the Rfam family "Bacterial small subunit ribosomal RNA", at positions 773 to 1060 of the family's 1533-position model. The record is from RNAcentral.